GAUGAAUGCUGGCGGCGCGCCUAACACAUGCAAGUCGAGCGGUAACAGGGGUAGUUUACUACCUGCUGACGAGCGGCGGACGGCUGAGUAACGCGUGGGAACAUGCCCCAAAGUGAGGAAUAAGCUCAAGAAAUUGAGUCUAAUGCCGCAUAUGAUCUUCGGAUUAAAGGAUUUAUCCGCUUUGGGAGUGGCCUGCGUACGAUUAGAUAGUUGGUGAGGUAAUGGCUCACCAAGUCGACGAUCGUUAACUGUUCUGAGAGGAUGAUCAGUCAGACUGGAACUGAGACACGGUCCAGACUCCUACGGGAGGCAGCAGUGAGGAAUCUUCCACAAUGGGCGAAAGCCUGAUGGAGCGACGCCGCGUGCAGGAUGAAGGCCUUCGGGUUGUAAACUGCUUUUAUAAGUGAAGAAUAUGACGGUAACUUAUGAAUAAGCACCGGCUAACUACGUGC
This 452-nucleotide ribosomal RNA is filed under the name uncultured bacterium. Its description in RNAcentral is "bacterial SSU rRNA". It matches the Rfam family "Bacterial small subunit ribosomal RNA", at positions 28 to 508 of the family's 1533-position model. The record is from RNAcentral.